This is a long non-coding RNA of Carya illinoinensis, 956 nucleotides long. RefSeq lists it as uncharacterized. The record is from RefSeq and is a predicted model, not a curated record. The transcript has 2 exons. Lineage: Eukaryota; Viridiplantae; Streptophyta; Magnoliopsida; Fagales; Juglandaceae.
UCUCCUUCAGUUUCCUCUCUGAAUCACAGAAAACAUACCCCGUCAUCUCUGAAUCGCAGAAAACCCUCUCCUUCGUCUUUCUCUAGAUUGCAGAAAACCCCCAACUCGAAAUGGAGUUGGUCUUUCUCAACCUAUUUCUCUGAAUCACAGAAAAUCCAAAAACCCCCAACUCCAUUUGUGUCCUGACCUUCGUCUUUUUCCGAAUCGCAAAACUCCACUUGGAGUUCAUCUUUCUCAACCCCAACUCCAUUUAGAGAUCAUAUUUCUCAAAAGUGCAAAAAACUCGAAAACCCCAUUUCGUCUUCGUCUUUGUCUGAGAAUCGCACAAAUCCUAAAGUGGUAUGCAGAGAACCCACGGCAUUUCUUGCACAAAUCCUAAAGGGGUGCGCAGAGAACCCACUAAAUAAUUUUUUCUGGCUUUUCUUCUGAAGAUAUCAUUGGUAUCUAUCUUAUCAACAGGAGUCAAAAUGGGGUUGAAAUGGAGAUUAUGUAAUUGGCUAGGCUUGAUAUGUGAGCUUCUGAGCUAUACACAGGCACUUUUAAGCAAAUGGCAUUUUGCUUUCCUUCAACACCCAAGAAACUGGCGAUGAUCGUGGGAUGUUUCGUCUCCAGUGAAGCUCGUUUUCUCAUAGGUCUGCAUCUCUCUUAUGUCAACGACGCUCCUCAACAAGCUCAAAUUCAGGCUCAUAAUUGAAGCAAUGAGAAAAAGAUUAAGAAAGAAGUACGGCAAAUGAAGAGUCUGUUGUUAAUGGCUCUGGGCUUAUAUACACUCUAGUUAUUAUUCUCCAUCCUAGCCCUUUGUGUACUGGCAAGUCAAGACUCAUUUUGAAAUUUCAUUGGCGCAAUGUCGUUAGGGUACCAAGGUUGUAAUGGCUAUAGAAGCAAGGCAAUGAAUUUGGCUUUCACUGGAUUGCAAGCAUAGAUUCAAAAAUUUAUUGGAUUAUGGUGUAUUCUCA